GGGGAUAUAGCUCAGUGGUACAGCACUUUCCUGACAUGCAGGAGGCCCUGGGUUCAAUCCCCAGCACUACUA
This 72-nucleotide transfer RNA is filed under the name Ictidomys tridecemlineatus (thirteen-lined ground squirrel). RNAcentral's name for it is "Spermophilus tridecemlineatus (thirteen-lined ground squirrel) tRNA". It matches the Rfam family "tRNA". Rfam says of the family: Transfer RNA (tRNA) molecules are approximately 80 nucleotides in length. Their secondary structure includes four short double-helical elements and three loops (D, anti-codon, and T loops). Further hydrogen bonds mediate the characteristic L-shaped molecular structure. tRNAs have two regions of fundamental functional importance: the anti-codon, which is responsible for specific mRNA codon recognition, and the 3' end, to which the tRNAs corresponding amino acid is attached (by aminoacyl-tRNA synthetases). tRNAs cope with the degeneracy of the genetic code in two manners: having more than one tRNA (with a specific anti-codon) for a particular amino acid; and 'wobble' base-pairing, i.e. permitting non-standard base-pairing at the 3rd anti-codon position. Lineage: Eukaryota; Metazoa; Chordata; Mammalia; Rodentia; Sciuridae. The record is from Rfam by way of RNAcentral.